This 240-nucleotide unclassified non-coding RNA is filed under the name Hevea brasiliensis (rubber tree). The record is from RNAcentral. Lineage: Eukaryota; Viridiplantae; Streptophyta; Magnoliopsida; Malpighiales; Euphorbiaceae.
GGAUUUUUUUUUUAUAUUAUAUAUAAAAAUUAAUUUAAAAAAAUAAUUUACACUUAUUAUCUAUAUGUUUUGAGUCUUUUUUUAGCAAAAAGGUAAUUUUCAUUCAUAAAUAUCCAUAUAUAGAAUGUCUUUAGAAAUAUCUGAGUCUCAUUACUUGAAACAAUUAUUUUUUCUUUUUUAAUAAUUUUUUUAUUAAACAUGCUAUUUUCUUGUUGCAGGCAUCAAGAUUGAAAUGGCCAU